AGAUUUAAAAAUCUAUCACACAA
This 23-nucleotide small nuclear RNA is filed under the name Arabidopsis thaliana (thale cress). Its description in RNAcentral is "snRNA_06102". Lineage: Eukaryota; Viridiplantae; Streptophyta; Magnoliopsida; Brassicales; Brassicaceae. The record is from RNAcentral.